GGAAACAAGAUGCUAAUACCGUAUAACAACAGAUGAUGCCUAUCAACUGUUUAAAAGAUGGUUCUGCUAUCACUCUUGGAUGGACCUGCGGUGCAUUAGCUAGUUGGUAGGGUAACGGGCCUACCAAGGCGAUGAUGCAUAGCCGAGUUGAGAGACUGAUCGGCCACAUUGGGACUGAGACACGGCCCAAACUCCUACGGGAGGCAGCAGCC
Molecule: ribosomal RNA, 212 nt
Filed under: uncultured Lactobacillus sp.
Lineage: Bacteria; Bacillati; Bacillota; Bacilli; Lactobacillales; Lactobacillaceae
Description: partial 16S ribosomal RNA
Rfam family: Bacterial small subunit ribosomal RNA
Source: RNAcentral